GAUGAAGAACGCAGCGAAAUGCGAUAAGUAAUGUGAAUUGCAGAAUUCAGUGAAUCAUCGAAUCUUUGAACGCACAUUGCGCCCGUCAGUAUUCUGGCGGGCAUGCCUGUUCGAGCGUCAUUACGCCCCUCAAGUCCCCUGUGGACUUGGUGUUGGGGAUCGGCGAGGCUGGUUUUCCAGCACAGCCGUCCCUUAAAUUAAUUGGCGGUCUCGCCGUGGCCCUCCUCUGCGCAGUAGUAAAACACUCGCAACAGGAGCCCGGCGCGGUCCACUGCCGUAAAACCCCCCAACUUUUUAUAGUUGACCUCGAAUCAGGUAGGACUACCCGCUGAACUUAAGCAUAUCAACAAGCGGAGGA
This 358-nucleotide unclassified non-coding RNA is filed under the name soil metagenome. Its description in RNAcentral is "partial contains 5.8S ribosomal RNA, internal transcribed spacer 2, and large subunit ribosomal RNA". The stretch from base 1 to 120 matches the Rfam family "5.8S ribosomal RNA", at positions 35 to 154 of the family's 154-position model. The record is from RNAcentral.